RNAcentral lists this ribosomal RNA (550 nucleotides) under bacterium BaP2-71. RNAcentral describes it as "bacterial SSU rRNA". It matches the Rfam family "Bacterial small subunit ribosomal RNA", at positions 75 to 613 of the family's 1533-position model. The record is from RNAcentral.
CUUGCUUCUAUGACGUUAGCGGCGGACGGGUGAGUAACACGUGGGCAACCUGCCUGUAAGACUGGGAUAACUUCGGGAAACCGAAGCUAAUACCGGAUAGGAUCUUCUCCUUCAUGGGAGAUGAUUGAAAGAUGGUUUCGGCUAUCACUUACAGAUGGGCCCGCGGUGCAUUAGCUAGUUGGUGAGGUAACGGCUCACCAAGGCAACGAUGCAUAGCCGACCUGAGAGGGUGAUCGGCCACACUGGGACUGAGACACGGCCCAGACUCCUACGGGAGGCAGCAGUAGGGAAUCUUCCGCAAUGGACGAAAGUCUGACGGAGCAACGCCGCGUGAGUGAUGAAGGCUUUCGGGUCGUAAAACUCUGUUGUUAGGGAAGAACAAGUACGAGAGUAACUGCUUGUACCUUGACGGUACCUAACCAGAAAGCCACGGCUAACUACGUGCCAGCAGCCGCGGUAAUACGUAGGUGGCAAGCGUUAUCCGGAAUUAUUGGGCGUAAAGCGCGCGCAGGCGGUUUCUUAAGUCUGAUGUGAAAGCCCACGGCUCAAC